ACUGCUCAGUAACACGUGGAUAACCUGCCCUUGGGUCCGGCAUAACCCCGGGAAACUGGGGAUAAUUCCGGAUAACGCACAUAUGCUGGAAUGCUUUAUGCGUCAAAUGGAUUCGUCUGCCCAAGGAUGGGUCUGCGGCCUAUCAGGUAGUAGUGGGUGUAAUGUACCUACUAGCCGACGACGGGUACGGGUUGUGAGAGCAAGAGCCCGGAGAUGGAUUCUGAGACAUGAAUCCAGGCCCUACGGGGCGCAGCAGGCGCGAAAACUUUACAAUGCGGGAAACCGUGAUAAGGGGACACCGAGUGCCAGCAUCAUAUGCUGGCUGUCCGGGUGUGUAAAAUACAACUGUUAGCAAGGGCCGGGCAAGACCGGUGCCAGCCGCCGCGGUAACACCGGCGGCCCGAGUGGUGAUCGUGAUUAUUGGGUCUAAAGGGUCCGUAGCCGGUUUGGUCAGUCCUCCGGGAAAUCUGACGGCUUAACCGUUAGGCUUUCGGAGGAUACUGCCAGGCUUGGAACCGGGAGAGGUAAGAGGUACUACAGGGGUAGGAGUGAAAUCUUGUAAUCCCUGUGGGACCACCUGUGGCGAAGGCGUCUUACCAGAACGGGUUCGACGGUGAGGGACGAAAGCUGGGGGCACGAACCGGAUUAGAUACCCGGGUAGUCCCAGCCGUAAACGAUGCUCGCUAGGUGUCAGGCAUGGCGCGACCGUGUCUGGUGCCGCAGGGAAGCCGUGAAGCGAGCCACCUGGGAAGUACGGCCGCAAGGCUGAAACUUAAAGGAAUUGGCGGGGGAGCAC
Molecule: ribosomal RNA, 796 nt
Filed under: uncultured archaeon
Lineage: Archaea
Description: bacterial SSU rRNA
Rfam family: Archaeal small subunit ribosomal RNA
Source: RNAcentral